Molecule: unclassified non-coding RNA, 168 nt
Filed under: uncultured fungus
Lineage: Eukaryota; Fungi
Description: sequence contains ITS2
Source: RNAcentral
UCAACCCUCAAACCCCGUGUUUGGCGUUGGGCCCACGUCGUGCUUGCGCGCGACCGGCUCCAAAGACAAUGACGGUGUCCGUGGGACCCUCGGUGCAACGAGCUUUUUCCAAAGCACGCGUCGAAGCGGAUCUGCGGGGGCCGGUCUCUGAUUUUAUAUCACUUCUCA